AGAGUUUGAUCCUGGCUCAGGAUGAACGCUAGCGGCAGGCUUAACACAUGCAAGUCGAGGGGCAGCGGGGAGGAAGCUUGCUUUCUCCGCCGGCGACCGGCGCACGGGUGAGUAACACGUAUGCAACCUGCCCCUGUCAGGGGGACAACCCGCCGAAAGGCGGGCUAAACCCGCGUACAUGCCACCGGGGCAUCCCGGAGGCAGGAAAGGCUUCGGCCGUACAGGGAUGGGCAUGCGGCGCAUUAGGCAGUAGGCGGGGUAACGGCCCACCUAACCGACGAUGCGUAGGGGUUCUGAGAGGAAGGUCCCCCACACUGGUACUGAGACACGGACCAGACUCCUACGGGAGGCAGCAGUGAGGAAUAUUGGUCAAUGGUCGGGAGACUGAACCAGCCAAGCCGCGUGAGGGAGGAAGGUACAGAGUAUCGUAAGCCUCUUUUGUCAGGGAACAAAGACUGGGACGCGUCCCCGGAUGAGUGUACCUGAAGAAAAAGCAUCGGCUAACUCCGUGCCAGCAGCCGCGGUAAUACGGAGGAUGCGAGCGUUAUCCGGAUUUAUUGGGUUUAAAGGGUGCGCAGGCGGUCUGUUAAGUCAGCGGUCAAAGCCCGGGGCUCAACCCCGGCCCGCCGUUGAAACUGGCAGUCUCGAGUUGGAGAGAAGUAUGCGGAAUGCGCGGUGUAGCGGUGAAAUGCAUAGAUAUCGCGCAGAACUCCGAUUGCGAAGGCAGCAUGCCGGCUCCACACUGACGCUGAGGCACGAAAGCGUGGGUAUCGAACAGGAUUAGAUACCCUGGUAGUCCACGCAGUAAACGAUGAAUGCUGGCUGUCCGGGGGGACUGACCCCUGGGUGGCGAAGCGAAAGCGAUAAGCAUUCCACCUGGGGAGUACGCCGGCAACGGUGAAACUCAAAGGAAUUGACGGGGGCCCGCACAAGCGGAGGAACAUGUGGUUUAAUUCGAUGAUACGCGAGGAACCUUACCCGGGCUCAAACGGGGAGUGGCGCAGGCAGAGACGCCUGUUUCCCACGGGACACUCCCCGAGGUGCUGCAUGGUUGUCGUCAGCUCGUGCCGUGAGGUGUCGGCUUAAGUGCCAUAACGAGCGCAACCCCCGCGUGCAGUUGCUAACAGUCAACGCUGAGGACUCUGCACGGACUGCCGGCGCAAGCCGCGAGGAAGGCGGGGAUGACGUCAAAUCAGCACGGCCCUUACGUCCGGGGCGACACACGUGUUACAAUGGGUGGUACAGCGGGAAGCCAGGCGGCGACGCCGAGCGGAACCCGAAAUCCACUCUCAGUUCGGAUCGGAGUCUGCAACCCGACUCCGUGAAGCUGGAUUCGCUAGUAAUCGCGCAUCAGCCAUGGCGCGGUGAAUACGAAGCCGGGCCUUGCACACACCGCCCGUCAAG
This 1404-nucleotide ribosomal RNA is filed under the name uncultured bacterium. RNAcentral's name for it is "bacterial SSU rRNA". It matches the Rfam family "Bacterial small subunit ribosomal RNA". The record is from RNAcentral.